CCAACUCUGUCAGGAGAGUGCCUGACUUGUCUUUCCUUGUGAAACAAGUCAGGCCGCCGAAGGCGCAGGCGGUUGGAUAAACCGCUGAACGCUCAGGCAAAAGGACUGACAAAACGCU
This 118-nucleotide non-coding RNA is filed under the name Limnohabitans sp. 63ED37-2. RNAcentral describes it as "Glycine riboswitch aptamer". It matches the Rfam family "Glycine riboswitch aptamer". From Rfam's summary of the family: This family represents the bacterial glycine riboswitch. Glycine riboswitches usually consist of two metabolite-binding aptamers domains with similar structures in tandem. The aptamers cooperatively bind glycine to regulate the expression of downstream genes. The record is from Rfam by way of RNAcentral. Lineage: Bacteria; Pseudomonadati; Pseudomonadota; Betaproteobacteria; Burkholderiales; Comamonadaceae. RNAcentral also lists the same sequence under 1 other name.